Molecule: ribosomal RNA, 467 nt
Filed under: uncultured bacterium
Lineage: Bacteria
Description: partial 16S ribosomal RNA
Rfam family: Bacterial small subunit ribosomal RNA
Source: RNAcentral
GAUGAACGCUGGCGGCGUGCUUAACACAUGCAAGUCGAACGGAAAGGCCCAAGCUUGCUUGGGUACUCGAGUGGCGAACGGGUGAGUAACACGUGGGUGAUCUGCCCUGCACUUCGGGAUAAGCCUGGGAAACUGGGUCUAAUACCGGAUAGGACCACUUCUUGGAUGUUGUGGUGGAAAGUUUUUUCGGUGUGGGAUGAGCUCGCGGCCUAUCAGCUUGUUGGUGGGGUAAUGGCCUACCAAGGCGUCGACGGGUAGCCGGCCUGAGAGGGUGUACGGCCACAUUGGGACUGAGAUACGGCCCAGACUCCUACGGGAGGCAGCAGUGGGGAAUAUUGCACAAGGGGCGCAAGCCUGAUGCAGCGACGCCGCGUGGGGGAGGACGGCCUUCGAGUUGUAAACUCCUUUCGCUAGGGACGAAGCGUUUUGUGACGGUACCUGGAGAAGAAGCACCGGCUAACUACGUG